This 492-nucleotide ribosomal RNA is filed under the name uncultured bacterium. Its description in RNAcentral is "partial 16S ribosomal RNA". It matches the Rfam family "Bacterial small subunit ribosomal RNA", at positions 29 to 507 of the family's 1533-position model. The record is from RNAcentral.
AGUGAACGCUGGCGGUAGGCCUAAUACAUGCAAGUCGAACGGCCGCACAGUAAGAGCUUGCUCUUACGGGUGGCGAGUGGCGGACGGGUGAGGAAUACAUCGGCAUCUACUUUUUCUUGGGGGAUUUCGUAGGGCAACUUCCGCUAAUACCGCAUAUGACCUACGGGUGAAAGCAGUGGUUCAUCGCACUUUUCGCGUUUGAUUGAGCUGAUGUCGGAUUACCUAGUUGGCGUGGUAAAGGCCCACCAAGGCGACGAUCCGUAGCUGGUCUGAGAGGAUGAGCAGCCCCACUGGAACUGAGACACGGUGCAGACUCCUACGGGAGGCAGCGGUGGGGAAAAUUGGACAAUGGGCGCAAGCCUUGUCCAGCCAUACCGCGUGGGUGAAUAAGGCCUUUGGGUUGUUAAACCCCUGUGUUGAGAAAGAAAAGCAUCAGGUAGAUACCCCGCUGGUCUGACGGGACCCAAAGAAGAAGCACCGGCUAACUUCGGU